AUGCUCACUUCGGCAGCACAUAUACUAAAGUUGAAAUGAUACAGAGAUGAUUAGCAUGACCUCUGUGUAAGGAUGACAUGCAAAUUCGUGAAGUGUUCAUAUUUUUA
This is a small nuclear RNA of Leptonychotes weddellii (Weddell seal), 107 nucleotides long. NCBI's taxonomy places the organism in Eukaryota, Metazoa, Chordata, Mammalia, Carnivora, Phocidae. The record is from RefSeq and is a predicted model, not a curated record.